AUUGAACGCUGGCGGCAUGCCUUACACAUGCAAGUCGAACGGCAGCACGGGGGCAACCCUGGUGGCGAGUGGCGAACGGGUGAGUAAUACAUCGGAACGUGUCCUGGAGUGGGGGAUAGCCCGGCGAAAGCCGGAUUAAUACCGCAUACGCUCUAUGGAGGAAAGCGGGGGAUCUUCGGACCUCGCGCUCAAGGGGCGGCCGAUGGCGGAUUAGCUAGUUGGUAGGGUAAAGGCCUACCAAGGCGACGAUCCGUAGCUGGUCUGAGAGGACGACCAGCCACACUGGGACUGAGACACGGCCCAGACUCCUACGGGAGGCAGCAGUGGGGAAUUUUGGACAAUGGGGGCAACCCUGAUCCAGCAAUGCCGCGUGUGUGAAGAAGGCCUUCGGGUUGUAAAGCACUUUUGUCCGGAAAGAAAUCCUCUGGGUUAAUACCUCGGGGGGAUGACGGUACCGGAAGAAUAAGCACCGGCUAACUACGUGC
This 485-nucleotide ribosomal RNA is filed under the name Trinickia soli. RNAcentral's name for it is "bacterial SSU rRNA". It matches the Rfam family "Bacterial small subunit ribosomal RNA", at positions 29 to 508 of the family's 1533-position model. Lineage: Bacteria; Pseudomonadati; Pseudomonadota; Betaproteobacteria; Burkholderiales; Burkholderiaceae. RNAcentral also lists the same sequence under 1 other name. The record is from RNAcentral.